AAGAUGGCGGCGCCCUGUGAGGGACGAGCGUUUGCCGUAGGGGUUGAAAAGAAUUGGGGUGCAGUAGUUCGCUCCCCAGAAGGGACCCCCCAGAAAAUCCGGCAGCUGAUAGAUGAGGGGAUUGCCCCGGAAGAGGGAGGCGUGGACGCGAAGGACACGUCUGCUACAUCCCAGUCAGUUAAUGGAUCACCCCAAGUGGAACAACCUUCAUUGGAAUCUACAAGCAAAGAAGCCUUCUUUAGCAGAGUGGAAACAUUUUCUAUAUCCUUUUUUAGUUCAUGUGAAUUGCACUUUCUGCCUGCUUCUAGAAUUCCUCCAAGAUAAGCAACGAUGUGCUGAGCUGAAGAAAGCCUUGUGUACUGCCCAUGAGAAGUUCUGUUUCUGGCCAGACAGCCCAUCCCCAGACCGAUUUGGGAUGUUGCCCCUGGAUGAGCCUGCUAUUCUUGUUAGUGAAUUCCUAGAUCGUUUUCAAAGCCUUUGUCACUUGGACCUCCAGCUUCCUUCCCUAAGGCCGGAGGACUUGAAAACUAUGUGCUUGACAGAAGACAAGAUCAGUCUUCUCCUACACUUGCUUGAAGAUGAACUUGAUCACCGAACUGAUGAGAGAAAAACUACAAUCAAAUUAGGCUCAGACAUCCAAGUCCACGUCACUGCCUGUAUUCUCUCUGUGUGUGGCUGGGCGUGUAGUUCCUCUUUGGAAUCCAUGCAGCUCUCCCUGAUAACAUGUUCACAGUGUAUGAGGAAGGUGGGGCUCUGGGGCUUCCAGCAGAUUGAAUCGUCCAUGACUGACCUGGAUGCAUCCUUUGGCCUGACCAGCUCCCCCAUCCCAGGCCUUGAGGGGCGACCAGAGCGCUUACCUCUGGUGCCUGAAUCUCCUCGGAGGAUGAUGACCCGGAGCCAGGAUGCCACUUUCUCCCCAGGCUCAGAGCAGGCUGAAAAGAGCCCUGGUCCCAUUGUCUCUCGAACUCGGAGCUGGGA
Molecule: small RNA, 978 nt
Filed under: Pan troglodytes (chimpanzee)
Lineage: Eukaryota; Metazoa; Chordata; Mammalia; Primates; Hominidae
Description: retained intron
Source: RNAcentral